GAAAAUGUGAUGAUCUUUAGUGAGACAGGAAGUUAGCAUAUCACACAUGCCCAAUGACCAUUACACAGAGCUGUCUAGAAUUCCCAUGCAUGCAGGUGUUCAUACCAAAUUAUGGGAUUAAUUGCCUUGGAUUUCUUUGUUGAGAUAUGUAGAAUUACAAAGAUGAUAUCACUGUUAGCGUUUGCAAUGCAUAUAGAGUUGAUAAACUGUCUGAGAUGAUGAUAAUGGAAGUUCUGACUGUGAUGAUUAAGUGUAAUUCUGCUCAUAGUCCAGUUUCUUCUGCUUUAAACACCAAACAAUGAUGGAUAGGAAAAUGUUGCUAAAAGCUUUUAAGAAGAGAUUAUAAUCCCACUGAGUUAUGCUCAAAAAUUUUUGAUCCAUUGACUUCCAUCAACAGGGAUGUGGGCCAAUGAUGAUGACAGUCAGCCAGGAACAAACUUUUAUACAUUAGAAGGUAAGUCCAGAUAUUGGAAAAUCAGCACAUUGCCCCAAAUUUGGCUAUUGAUCAGAUUCCAUUCUGACUUUGAGGAAUAUAUAGUCAAAGAGAUAAAUGUCCUCAUCUCUUGGACAAAUGGCAGCAUUCAAGCAGUGCUUCAUAUAUUGGCCAAUGGUAGAAGUGAAGGUACUGUUGGUGGUGAAAUUUAACUUUAAGUGCAGAUCAGCAGUCUCAAGUUAAAUGGCAGAGGUAUAGAUGGAUAGCAUAUUAAUGGAAAUUGAUGUCAGGAAGAAGCAUCCCUGCCUCUGCCAAAACUGCUAACAAUGGUGUGCUUGAAAGUCCUAAUACUACUCAGAGUGCAGCUUGGUACACUGAAU
Molecule: long non-coding RNA, 813 nt
Filed under: Androctonus crassicauda
Lineage: Eukaryota; Metazoa; Arthropoda; Arachnida; Scorpiones; Buthidae
Source: RNAcentral